AAUUUCAUGGCUCUCAGUUUACAGGAACGUAACAUUUGAUGCCAAUGAAAUUCAUUAGAAUUCUGCACGAUCCUGUGAACUGCGUGCCCAUCUGUCUUGUAUGUGUUUCCAGGGGUGGUUUACAACAGUCUUCGCCAUGUACUGGAUGGACGUGUACUUAUGAACACUCACACCGUGAGACCCAAGACGGUCCGUCUUAAAACAAGGCCAUAUCUGAUUUGGAUUAAAAUCCCCAUGGAGAGCCUGAUGUCACCCAGGAAAGUGCACGUCUACUUGCAUGCUCUUGAGAAAUGGUUGAGAAAACAGUCCUUCCAGCUCGGCAAAUACCAUUUUGUUUCUGUCUGCUCACCACCCUUGCAUUUGCAAUAAACCUGACAAAAACUUCGAGAGCGAAAAUGAGGAUGUUCAUAUUUGAAGGAGAUGUUGGCAGACGGCCACAGUCUUCAAGUACGCAAGCUCAUUCCGCUCUUGCUUUUCUGCCAGUAACUCCUUGGCCUCCGCACACGCUGCACAGGCAGGGCCUGAGGACGGAUCAUGAACGUGUCCGAUGAUCAUGGACCCGCCGAAGACUCCCGAUGGAGACGCGAUGACUCACAGCCAAGUGAACUUUCUCUGCUCCUGAACAAAUUGCUUCUCCUCCUCGUCCCACUCCAAAGCUAGAGGUGGGGCAACCCCAGCAUCCCGGGCGUGAACGCACCCAGCUUGAUUAUCUGGAGACCUCAUGCCUGCCUGGCAUAGGCCAACCCAGUAAUGUUCAUUUAAAGCUGGCUUUACUGGUCCUUCCUCCACAAUGAGAGGUGACCCUUCACUUCACCGAGAAAGGAAGGAAGAAAGCGUAAUAUUUCGUUGUGUGAAGAGGCCAUGAUUUCUCCGUUCCGCUGAGGAUCACUUGAGCUGUUUCCAGUUUGGGGCGUUAUGAACAAUGCCGCAGUGAGCAUUCUUGUCAGUGCUGGCGUAUCUCAUGGUAGGUUUGGAAAUAAAUUCUGAUGGGAAUUAAAACUGGUGUAACCUCUAUAAAGGGCAACUUAGCAAGAGCUGUCAAAAUUUAAAAAACACGUGCCCUUCUGGGAAUUAAUUCUACAGAUCUGCCCAAACAUGCAAAAUGUCUCAUGCACCAGGUUCUUCUUUGCAGCAUUUAUUUGCAAAAGGUGAGGGUAGAGACAACCUAAAUAUCCAUCAAUAAAUAUUUAUCCAUCCGUAGACUAGAAUACCAGGCAGCCACCAGAAGGAACGAGAAAGCUCAGUACCAGCAGGACCUCCAAGUUAAGUAAAAAAGCAAGAUGCUGAGCAGUACAUAUAGUUCUCUACCAUGUAGAUUAAAAAGGGAUGGAAUAUAUUUGCUUGUAUUUGCAUAAAAUAUCUAUGAGUAUACUCAAAAAAUAGAUAAUAUGAUCUAUGUAUGCGGGACGGGGGGAAGGAAGAUGUUUCCAUGUAUAUUCCUUUGUAAUCAUUGAAUUUUAAGCCAUAUGAAUGCAUUGUCUACUCAAAAACUCAAUUUAUUGUGAAAAGACUAAAAACCACUGAACAGUACACAUUAAAAUUCUAUGGUAUAUGAUUUAGAUCUCAAUGAAAAAUGUAUAUUGAGGCUGGACGCUGUGGCUCAUGCCUAUAAUCCCAGCACUUUGGGAGUCCGAGGCAGGUGGAUCACUUGAAGUCAGGAGUUUGAGACCAGCCUGGCCAACAUGGUGAAACCCUGUCUCUACUAAAAUACAUAAAUGAGCUAGGCAUGGUGAGGGGUGCGCUUGUAAUCCCAGCUACUCAGGAUGCCAAGGCAGGAGAAUUACUUGACCCUGGGAGGAGGCAGAGGUUGCAGUGAACCCAGAUCACACCACUGCACUCCAGCCUGGGCGACAGAGCAAGACUCUGUCUCAAAAAAAAAAAAUUACAUUUAAAAAAGCUCAGGCUAUAGGGUCCGGCAUGGAGGCUCACACAUGUAAUUCCAACAUUUUGGGAGGCUGAUGCAGGAGAAUCACUUAAGCCCAAGAGUUCAGGACCAGCUUGAGCAACAGUGAGAUUCCGUCUGUAU
This is a long non-coding RNA of Macaca mulatta (Rhesus monkey), 2026 nucleotides long. RefSeq lists it as uncharacterized. The record is from RefSeq and is a predicted model, not a curated record. NCBI's taxonomy places the organism in Eukaryota, Metazoa, Chordata, Mammalia, Primates, Cercopithecidae.